CAACUAUGGCUCUGAAAUCGUUGUCUGGAUUGUAGGAGUUAUACUUUACAUACUUCCUUGUGGUGUGCAAACAUUUUUGGAAGGUACUUACUUUCCUUCAUUGGACAAAAUAUAUGUUGUGAAGAAAUUAUAAAUCACCUUACAAAUUGUCCAUGCCGCCGCCUUGAUUCGCUAGCCGCUGCCUAGAGUCACCCUGCUGCCGUCUCAAGCCAAACCGUGCGUCAACUCCACCACUGCAGCCAGGAAUCCCUUCCCUGGCAAGCUUACUUCCUCUGAAUCCCAGCUCUACCUGGUCCUCCUGCCGAGCUUAUUACAUCUAUGAUGUGUGUGUGCUUGCUACCUUGCUGCUGGGUGCUUUGUCGUUGGGUGUUGAGCCGCUGAUGUCCUGAUGCCGAUGCUUUGUUGUAUAUAUAUUUGUAUAAUGCUUGUAUCUUGCUUUGUUCUAAAGUGACUAUUUUCCUUGUUGUGGCUGACCUGCUGAUAUUGCUGCUUUGCUGGCCAGGGAGUAAGUUCAAUGAUAUACAGACACAAGAGAUAUUCAGUUAUGUUGUUGGGGAAAUUAAUGAUCAUUCAGUCAACAAAUGGGGCAAUAUAUUGAUCUCAUUUCAUCGUAGGCAUUGAUUAUUUGUUGUCUUCUUUGCAUGCAUUUUAUUAAUUAUUUAUACAUACUCGUCGUAUCUUUGUACUGUUGUUUUUAUAAAAUGUCGUUUCCUGUGUGCCCGUUUCCAUAUCAUCGUAUGUAUGUUGCUGUACGACGCUUCAUAGCAAAAACUUAUACUCACUAAAGAAAGUGUUCCUUUUCUUGUUCCAUUGCUCGAUAAGUAUGAUCAUGUUUCUACUGAUUGAUUAUACAUAUGAUCUUUCUUUUGAUUAUUUUGCGGUGUUUCUGAUUGACACUAUGAGGCGCUUCCUUGUCAUGCAGAUUCAUCCUUUAGUUAAAUUCUGAUGAUGAUAUGGUUGUAAAUUAGUCUGGUAUAUGCCAAUAGUUGUCUCUCCUAGAAGAUUUUUUGUCAGAAUAGCUUACUAAAGAUUUGGUUGUUUGUCUAGAUUUUACACCCAACUAUAAGAAUGGGUGACAACACUGAUUGGCUCUAUUGUGCUUCUGUGUUGUCCAGAUGCAUCAUUUACUUAUACACUAAUGAUAUUGUUGUAGCUAAACAAAUGGGUCAAAACCACAUCAACCCAGCUAUAAGAAUGCAAUCUUAUGAUUCAUACUCACCUAUGGCUGCUAUAUUGUACAUUCUUUUGAUGAAACUAUAUUGUACAUUUAAUAACAUGACUUCUUCCAUGAGAGAGCACUUCUUAGAGGUUUAACUGAGUGAGAUGGGGUUUAGGCACAAGAAGAGGAACCAUGGGUGGGUGCUCUUGCAAUGCUCGGCUAACUCCCAAGACUGCUAGGGGAAGGACUUCCUGGGAUGGCAAGGCAGAUUGAAGGUGGUCACGGCCAUCUCACGGAGAUGGUGCAAGCUGUCAAGAAUCACGGUGCUGGGGCACUACACUUCGCCUCCGGGUGCAAGAUGGCGGAAGUGUGCGAGUACCUGUUGAGGUUGUCCAGGUGGACGUGGAUGCUGUUGACCAAGCAGGGCAUUGUGAAAUAGUAGAACUCUUGCUCUCUAGGGGUGCUUAUGUCGAUCUAUUUUAUAUGGAUCAUGGGACUCCAUUGCAUGAUAAACAUAAGCAGGAUGUAACCGUGAAG
This is a long non-coding RNA of Triticum dicoccoides, 1696 nucleotides long. RefSeq lists it as uncharacterized. The transcript is spliced from 3 exons. The record is from RefSeq and is a predicted model, not a curated record. NCBI's taxonomy places the organism in Eukaryota, Viridiplantae, Streptophyta, Magnoliopsida, Poales, Poaceae.